GCUGUUGUUUUGGAGAGCCACUGUGGGAAAGUCAUUAAAGUGCAAAGCAUCUCUCUUUUAUUUAUUUCUAAAGGACUCCUGGAAGAGACGUCCACGAAGGCGGCGGAUGGUAAUGAGUGCUGACACUGACCGGCCACCCCCGCAGUGCCGUGUGUGCCGAUAGCCGCUGCCAUGGCAAACCGAGUCCUCUGCUGUGAAACGGGCCUGUGGGACCAGCAGGGAGGGCUUCCUCUCUUCCACCGGUGGCCGGUGUCCACCAGCAGACCACUAAAUCAGGCAUUUUUCGUUCAUCUUUGGUGGCCUUUGUAGCGAGUCACAACUAAAGCUCAGCACGUCAGCUGCGACCGGGAACCCCGUCCCUGGAGGCGCUGCGUCACACAUAAGGGAGGACCACACCGGACAGGGGACCACUGGACUGUGUCCGUGUACGUUUCUGCAGGGAUGGGACAGUGAAGCCGUUUGCAUGCACGUGCUAUACCCAGAAAAAUAAAAAUAAAAUAAAAUAAACGUG
Long non-coding RNA from Pseudoliparis swirei, 511 nucleotides. RefSeq lists it as uncharacterized. The transcript is spliced from 2 exons. Lineage: Eukaryota; Metazoa; Chordata; Actinopteri; Perciformes; Liparidae. The record is from RefSeq and is a predicted model, not a curated record.